Molecule: ribosomal RNA, 177 nt
Filed under: uncultured Gammaproteobacteria bacterium
Lineage: Bacteria; Pseudomonadati; Pseudomonadota; Gammaproteobacteria
Description: partial 16S ribosomal RNA
Rfam family: Bacterial small subunit ribosomal RNA
Source: RNAcentral
ACUCCUACGGGAGGCAGCAGUGGGGAAUAUUGGACAAUGGGGGNAANCCUGAUCCAGCCAUGCCGCGUGUGUGAAGAAGGCCCUCGGGUUGUAAAGCACUUUCAGCGAGGAAGAACGCCCAGCGGUUAAUACCCGCUAGGAAAGACAUCACUCGCAGAAGAAGCACCGGCUAACUCC